GAUGAACGCUGGCGGCGUGCCUAAUACAUGCAAGUCGAGCGAACAGACGAGGAGCUUGCUCCUCUGACGUUAGCGGCGGACGGGUGAGUAACACGUGGAUAACCUACCUAUAAGACUGGGAUAACUUCGGGAAACCGGAGCUAAUACCGGAUAAUAUAUUGAACCGCAUGGUUCAAUAGUGAAAGACGGUUUUGCUGUGACUUAUAGAUGGAUCCGCGCCGCAUUAGCUAGUUGGUAAGGUAACAGCUUACCAAGGCAACGAUGCGUAGCCGACCUGAGAGGGUGAUCGGCCACACUGGAACUGAGACACGGUCCAGACUCCUACGGGAGGCAGCAGUAGGGAAUCUUCCGCAAUGGGCGAAAGCCUGACGGAGCAACGCCGCGUGAGUGAUGAAGGUCUUCGGAUCGUAAAACUCUGUUAUUAGGGAAGAACAAAUGUGUAAGUAACUAUGCACGUCUUGACGGUACCUAAUCAGAAAGCCACGGCUAACUACGUG
Molecule: ribosomal RNA, 497 nt
Filed under: uncultured bacterium
Lineage: Bacteria
Description: partial 16S ribosomal RNA
Rfam family: Bacterial small subunit ribosomal RNA
Source: RNAcentral